Molecule: non-coding RNA, 95 nt
Filed under: Pseudomonadota bacterium
Lineage: Bacteria; Pseudomonadati; Pseudomonadota
Description: Proteobacteria bacterium Glycine sequence
Rfam family: Glycine riboswitch aptamer
About the family: This family represents the bacterial glycine riboswitch. Glycine riboswitches usually consist of two metabolite-binding aptamers domains with similar structures in tandem. The aptamers cooperatively bind glycine to regulate the expression of downstream genes.
Source: RNAcentral
GCGAACCCCGUGGGAGAGAUCUCGCCAAACUUAGGCGGGGCCCCGAAGGAGCAACCGCCCCGGAAACUCUCAGGGAACCGGACCGCGGGGGGAUG